Lemur catta (Ring-tailed lemur) is the source of this 708-nucleotide long non-coding RNA. RefSeq lists it as uncharacterized. The record is from RefSeq and is a predicted model, not a curated record. The transcript has 3 exons. NCBI's taxonomy places the organism in Eukaryota, Metazoa, Chordata, Mammalia, Primates, Lemuridae.
CACACUCCACAGCAGGCAGUUCCCGGGCGUUUGCCGUCUCCAGGCUGCCCUGCGCUGGAUGGCGCAUCUUGUGUCACCCACAAUCGGAACAGAACCCUGCCACCCCGUGUGAACACGCCUGGGCUAGCCUGCUGGAGGAGACGGUGCAUGUGAAAGAGACUGAGGCAGCACAGCCUGUAGCCAGCUGACCCCCAGACAGCUGCCUACCUGAGUCCAAGUGGACCACAGACGCCCAGCCUGUUCCAGAACCACCUGCAAGACUCCCAAGAUUCAGAGGAUUGGGACAUGGAAAUCUCUGAGGGGCCGUGAGUCUGCCUGUCACAGGAGAUAGUCAUAUUGGUCAGAGUCUCCAAGGAUAACACAGAAUCUUCAGUGAAACAAAUGGAAGAAGUGCUGAGGACCACUUGGUCCAACCACCUCGGGGCAUUAUUGACAUCAGUGCAGCAUGAAUGUCGCCUCCUGUUGUGCGAAGUCAGCAGAAUCGCAGAAAUAAAAACAGGAACUCUGGGAGGACUUGUCCAAUCUUCCAUGGCACUAUCGUAAGCUUCCAUUUUGUAGUUCUCAAAAUAAUCUUUUUUUUUGUAAUUCUAAUUAGGAUAAAAAGCUACAUUUAGUAAGUCCUUCAGAGGUCUGCCUUGGAGCAGGAAAAAUUAGUUUAAAAAGGUGCAGUCCAGAGCACUGGUUCUCAAACUAUGGUCUAGGAAGAGA